GCGCCAUUAGCUCAGCUGGAUAGAGUGUUUGACUACGAAUCAAAAGGUCGCAGGUUCGAGUCCUGCAUGGCGCGCCA
RNAcentral lists this transfer RNA (77 nucleotides) under Clostridiales bacterium. RNAcentral describes it as "tRNA-Arg". It matches the Rfam family "tRNA". From Rfam's summary of the family: Transfer RNA (tRNA) molecules are approximately 80 nucleotides in length. Lineage: Bacteria; Bacillati; Bacillota; Clostridia; Eubacteriales. The record is from RNAcentral.